AGUGGACGCUGGCGGUAGGCCUAACACAUGCAAGUCGAACGGCAGCACAGUAAGAGCUUGCUCUUACGGGUGGCGAGUGGCGGACGGGUGAGGAAUACAUCGGAAUCUACUUUUUCGUGGGGGAUAACGUAGGGAAACUUACGCUAAUACCGCAUACGACCUACGGGUGAAAGCAGGGGAUCUUCGGACCUUGCGCGAUUGAAUGAGCCGAUGUCGGAUUAGCUAGUUGGCGGGGUAAAGGCCCACCAAGGCGACGAUCCGUAGCUGGUCUGAGAGGAUGAUCAGCCACACUGGAACUGAGACACGGUCCAGACUCCUACGGGAGGCAGCAGUGGGGAAUAUUGGACAAUGGGCGCAAGCCUGAUCCAGCCAUACCGCGUGGGUGAAGAAGGCCUUCGGGUUGGAAAGCCCUUUUGUUGGGAAAGAAAAGCAGCAGGUUAAUACCCCGCUGUUCUGACGGUACCCAAAGAAUAAGCACCGGCUAACUUCGUG
RNAcentral lists this ribosomal RNA (492 nucleotides) under uncultured bacterium. Its description in RNAcentral is "partial 16S ribosomal RNA". It matches the Rfam family "Bacterial small subunit ribosomal RNA", at positions 29 to 507 of the family's 1533-position model. The record is from RNAcentral.